UCUAUUAAGGUGUAUACGCACAUAAAAAUUUGAUUUUUAAAGAGAUAAUUUAUCUAAUAGAA
This 62-nucleotide transfer RNA is filed under the name Lycosa grahami. RNAcentral's name for it is "tRNA-Gln". The record is from RNAcentral. Lineage: Eukaryota; Metazoa; Arthropoda; Arachnida; Araneae; Lycosidae.